AUACCGGGCUCUUUCGAGUCUGGU
RNAcentral lists this non-coding RNA (24 nucleotides) under Arabidopsis thaliana (thale cress). Lineage: Eukaryota; Viridiplantae; Streptophyta; Magnoliopsida; Brassicales; Brassicaceae. The record is from RNAcentral.